Molecule: small nuclear RNA, 107 nt
Organism: Mesocricetus auratus (golden hamster)
Lineage: Eukaryota; Metazoa; Chordata; Mammalia; Rodentia; Cricetidae
Source: Ensembl
GUGCUCAAUUCAGCAGCACAUAUAUUAAAACUGAAACAAUACAAAGAAAAUUACCAUGCACCCUGUAUAAUGAUGAUAUUAAAAAAAUUUUUUUGGAAACAAGAUUU